RNAcentral lists this ribosomal RNA (468 nucleotides) under uncultured bacterium. RNAcentral's name for it is "partial 16S ribosomal RNA". It matches the Rfam family "Bacterial small subunit ribosomal RNA", at positions 28 to 507 of the family's 1533-position model. The record is from RNAcentral.
GACGAACGCUGGCGGCGUGCUUAACACAUGCAAGUCGAACGGAAAGACCCUGCGUUUGUGGGGUUCACGAGUGGCGAACGGGUGAGUAACACACGAGUAACCUGCCCUUGACUGUGGGGUAAAUUCAGGAAACAGGGGCGAAUACAGGGGAGGAGCUCCUGCUGCGUGGUGGUGGUUGGAGAGUUUCGGCGGUUGGGGAUGGACUCGCGGCUUAUCAGCUUGAUGGGGGGGUAGUGGCGGACCAAGGCUUUGACGGGUAGCCGGCCUGAGAGGGUGAACGGCCACAUGGGGCCUGAGAGACGCCGCAGAAGGCUACGGGAGGCAGCAGUGGGGAAUAUUGCACAACGGGCGGAAGCCUGAUGCAGCAACGUCGCGUGCGGGAUGCCGGCCUUUGGGUUGUAAACCGCUUUCGCCUGUGACGAAGCGUGAGUGACGGUAAUGAGUAAAGAAGCACCGGCUAACUACGUG